GAGUGAACGCUGGCGGUAGGCCUAACACAUGCAAGUCGAACGGCAGCACAGUAAGAGCUUGCUCUUACGGGUGGCGAGUGGCGGACGGGUGAGGAAUACAUCGGAAUCUACUUUUUCGUGGGGGAUAACGUAGGGAAACUUACGCUAAUACCGCAUACGAUCUACGGGUGAAAGCAGGGGAUCUUCGGACCUUGCGCGAUUGAAUGAGCCGAUGUCGGAUUAGCUAGUUGGCGGGGUAAAGGCCCACCAAGGCGACGAUCCGUAGCUGGUCUGAGAGGAUGAUCAGCCACACUGGAACUGAGACACGGUCCAGACUCCUACGGGAGGCAGCAGUGGGGAAUAUUGGACAAUGGGCGCAAGCCUGAUCCAGCCAUACCGCGUGGGUGAAGAAGGCCUUCGGGUUGUAAAGCCCUUUUGUUGGGAAAGAAAAGCAGCAGGUUAAUACCCCGCUGUUCUGACGGUACCCAAAGAAUAAGCACCGGCUAACUUCGUG
Molecule: ribosomal RNA, 493 nt
Filed under: uncultured bacterium
Lineage: Bacteria
Description: partial 16S ribosomal RNA
Rfam family: Bacterial small subunit ribosomal RNA
Source: RNAcentral